Molecule: ribosomal RNA, 491 nt
Filed under: uncultured bacterium
Lineage: Bacteria
Description: partial 16S ribosomal RNA
Rfam family: Bacterial small subunit ribosomal RNA
Source: RNAcentral
AGUGAACGCUGGCGGUAGGCCUAACACAUGCAAGUCGAACGGCAGCACAGUAAGAGCUUGCUCUUACGGGUGGCGAGUGGCGGACGGGUGAGGAAUUCAUCGGAAUCUACUUUUUCGUGGGGGAUAACGUAGGGAAACUUACGCUAAUACCGCAUACGACCUACGGGUGAAAGCAGGGGAUCUUCGGACCUUGCGCGAUUGAAUGAGCCGAUGUCGGAUUAGCUAGUUGGCGGGGUAAAGGCCCACCAAGGCGACGAUCCGUAGCUGGUCUGAGAGGAUGAUCAGCCACACUGGAACUGAGACACGGUCCAGACUCCGACGGGAGGCAGCAGUGGGGAAUAUUGGACAAUGGGCGCAAGCCUGAUCCAGCCAUACCGCGUGGGUGAAGAAGGCCUUCGGGUUGUAAAGCCCUUUUGUUGGGAAAGAAAAGCAGCAGGUUAAUACCCCGCUGUUCUGACGGUACCCAAAGAAUAAGCACCGGCUAACUUCGU